Molecule: RNA transcript, 410 nt
Organism: Carlito syrichta (Philippine tarsier)
Lineage: Eukaryota; Metazoa; Chordata; Mammalia; Primates; Tarsiidae
Gene name: 60S ribosomal protein L27 pseudogene
Exons: 1
Source: RefSeq, a predicted model, not a curated record
AUGGACAAGUUCACGAGACCCGGGAAAGUGGUGCUGGUCCUGGCCAGAGGCUAUUCUGGACGCAAAACCCUCACGGUGAAGAACGUUGAUGAUGCCAUCUCAGACCUCCCCUCCAGCCAUGCUCUGGUGACUGGAAUUGACCACUAUCCCCGCAAAGUGACAGCUGCCAUGGACAAGAAGAAGAUUGCCAAGAGGUUAAAGAUCAAGUCUUGUAAAAGUUUAAAAGUGCAAUCACCUCCUGCCCACAAGGUUCUCUGUGGACUUCCCCUUGGACAAAACUGUUGUCGACAAGGAUGUCUUCAGAGGCCCUGCUCUUAAACACAAGGCCCGACGGGAGGCCAAGGCCAAGUUUGAAGAGAGGUGCAAGAUGGGCAAGAACAAGUGGGUCUUCCAGAAGCUGUGAGUUUAGA